GUCGCUUUACGCCCACGUUCAAAUUGUUCUGUGAGCGAGGGCCGGGCCGCGAGCAGGGGAGCCAGCGGAUACUACAGCUUCCAGGGGGCGAGGCUUCCCGCCUGCCUUUCCCGGCGGGCCGCAAUGCAUGCUGGGAAUCGUAGUUUCUAUGGGUGGCCGCUCCGCUAGCAGAAUGGCGCGUCACUUCCUGGGGUUCUACUACUUGAACGCACAGACUUCAGCAGAACCACAUGAUGCAAGGGGCAUCUUCACAGAUGGUCUUCACCUCUGCUCUGCUGCCUGAUGCUGCUGCUGGCCUGGUUCUUCCAGCUCCUCAAGUUGUGGCUGCACGUAAAUUUAAAGUCUGGUGUGUGUGUGUCUGUGUGUUUUGGUUUUUAUUACAGCAGCAGUUGAAAUGUGGUGGAGCUGAAUGACUGCUUCUUGUGCUGUAUCUUCCAUGUGACUCCAGAUAUCAGCAUCAUCUUAUUACAGGCCUUCUUUUCAGACCAACUGAACUCCUCAAUAAAAGCCAUGGCCAGCAAAAUUAUAUCCAAUCAAUUAAUCAGGAACUUCCUGAUUUUGGAAGGGAGAGUUAGCGACCAGGAAGCCAUAGAGAGAAAUUCAGAUGAGGUAUAAGUAUGUGAUGCUCCACUAAAGUCGAUGGUGUCACAACAGAGCUGAACUGAACCCUGAGUUUUGCUGAUGUGGCUUUCAUAAGAGAAGAAUACAUGGGCCAAAGGUGAACCAUUUAUCUGAAACUCUGACUAUUCUGAGGUCAGAGGAAAAUGGGACCUACAGCUGAGCCACCCACAGCUUUAGUCUGACAGAAGAUGUUCUGCAAAACCAAAAUCAUCCUUUGGUUUGCUAUCUCUGCAUACAGGCUAGUACUGAUAAACAAAACUCUCUUGCUAAAAGAAGUCUGUUUUCUGGAGCCUUGCUACAGAAGAUGAAGGACAACAGCUUGAGUAGCUUCCAGAAGCCUCUUUAUGGAGUUGUGUGAGAACUUUGCUUUGUUUCACCUUCUGUUGUCAGAUCCAAAACAGUUAAGUGCACCACAAGAGGAGGCUACAGGUGUAGAAAAAGACUGCGCUCUCCCCAUGAUGGGUAGCCCACAAGGGAGAAGCACGGCCCCCAAAGUCCUGGCUGGGAAGGUGUGUGGCUAGGGCAGCUAGAAGAUGUACUUAAUCAUUGUGUUCCUUUGAGACUUCUGCCAGUGCAGUUUUCUGAAGCCUACGAAUAUCAUUUACAGCUGCUCUCCAAAGAAAUUUCCAAAGGAGCGUGGUGAAGAAAACAGUGCCUGCCCUCGCUAGGGAAUGAAUCCACCUGGAUGUAGUGACCCCCAAUGAUGCAGGAAGAGCAAACUGAGGAGUAGUGAUCUGGCACACAAAAUAUAUUCAACAUCCUUUGAACUGAACAGUUAUUAAAGUUUCCUUCGGGUGAUAGCAAAACAUUCUGUACAUUACCAAAAAUAAUGCGGCAAUAUCUGUUUCUAAUAAAGUUAUGGCUGAGUGGAUUCAUAAAACAAACUUCUUUUUAUUGAUAAAAAUGACCCAUAUGCUAUAAUAAAGAAAAAGUAUAUUAUACAUGUAAGUGCUUUGUAGCAAAGUGUGCUCUGAUCAGAGUUAAAAUUGUUCUUCUUGUCAAAGGGAAGAAAUGUGACUGAGAGAUUGGAAAUCUAUUGAAAUAGCUCAACUGAUGUGCUGCUACAGUUUCUAGGCAAACUGAUAGUCCAUCUGUUCAUAAUAACUUAAUAAAACCAAGGAAUCAGUAUAUUCCUUUUUCCAUGAGAGGGUGACUUACUGUUUCAUAAAUGCCAAUGUAAUGUUUUAUUUGGUUCUGCAAUUCCUGGUUUUGCUCUUGAUCCCACAUAUUUUAACAGUUUGUGCAAAGUAUGAGAUGAUUCUACCCCUUUCCUUUCAACAUUUGUUUUGAGGAGUGAUCAAUGCCUUCUGCCUUGCCGUUAAAUAGAUUUUGAAAAACUCGUUAAUCCAUAUCAGUGUCAUAUCCUUAUUUAGGUCUUUACAUUUAUCCUCAGCUGGGAAUUCUGCAGGUAACUGUGAUUCUGUUGUGUUCAACGCUUAAAAGUGUUUCAUCCAUCAUCAUUUCGAGUCCUUUUCUGAUGCAAUAUAGUUUGUUCUUUGUCUUUCUUGAAAACUGAAUGGCUGUUAAAUUAUCCAUUUAUCUUCUUUCA
Chelonia mydas (Green sea turtle) is the source of this 2170-nucleotide long non-coding RNA. RefSeq lists it as uncharacterized. NCBI's taxonomy places the organism in Eukaryota, Metazoa, Chordata, Testudines, Cheloniidae. The record is from RefSeq and is a predicted model, not a curated record. The transcript is spliced from 4 exons.